RNAcentral lists this transfer RNA (74 nucleotides) under Camelus bactrianus (Bactrian camel). It matches the Rfam family "tRNA". From Rfam's summary of the family: Transfer RNA (tRNA) molecules are approximately 80 nucleotides in length. Their secondary structure includes four short double-helical elements and three loops (D, anti-codon, and T loops). Lineage: Eukaryota; Metazoa; Chordata; Mammalia; Artiodactyla; Camelidae. The record is from Rfam by way of RNAcentral. RNAcentral also lists the same sequence under 1 other name.
GGAGGUAUAGUUCACAUAGUAGAGCACAUGCUUAGCAAUAUACAAGGUCCUGGGUUCAAUCCCCAGUACUUCCU